Small nuclear RNA from Elgaria multicarinata webbii, 107 nucleotides. Lineage: Eukaryota; Metazoa; Chordata; Lepidosauria; Squamata; Anguidae. The record is from RefSeq and is a predicted model, not a curated record.
GUGCUUGAUUUGAUGACAUGUACAACAAAAUGGGAAUGGUUCAGAGAAGAUGAGAAUGGCCGCUGUGCAGGGAUGACAGGCACAUUCGUAAAGAAUUCCAUAUUUAG